RNAcentral lists this long non-coding RNA (844 nucleotides) under Sus scrofa (pig). Its description in RNAcentral is "lncRNA (ENSSSCG00050038371.1, ENSSSCG00060062818.1)". Lineage: Eukaryota; Metazoa; Chordata; Mammalia; Artiodactyla; Suidae. The record is from RNAcentral.
CUCCUCCUUCCAAACUAAACUGCACCAAGGCCUUCUGCCCUGUUAGGGGCUGGGAAGGCCAAAAAGGAACAUGCCUGUUUUCUCCUUCUGAGUUUGGAACUGACUGAGAAAUAAGACCAAGAGACAGACCACUGGAGAUCUAAAUAUCAGCUUUAUUUAUUGAUAAAGCUGACCUGAACAGUGUGGCUUGACCUGCAGCCAAAUGGGUUCCUGAAAUGUCCCUUCUGAUCUUUGCUUACCCUGCAAAGCCGGCGUGGCCACACUCACCACAUGGCAGACCAGAAUGCAACUGUCCUGUGGACAGGCUGACUCUAAAAGGACACACAGAGAGAAAAAGCAGGGGCAGAUUCAUCAGAUGGUUUGCAGGUGGCAGUGGCCGAGGUUUAGUCUCACACAACACAACAAAUGAGAAAGGAGUCUUUAAAAAGAGAAGAAAUCUUACAGUAAAUCAUUCUUUGUUGAUUUGAGUUCCACAAUCUCUGCCAGAAACUCUGGAACUUGAGUACUACCAGAAAGAAACAAAAUGUGGAUAGACCUUGACAAACUGGAGCAGGUUCUGAGGAUCUGACCAUGUUGGUGUGAGUCUGAAGAUGCCAUCACGGGGAGAAUAGGGGGAAAGGAUCACCAUGACUGAAGGAAGCAACAUGUACUUUGAGCAUAAGAAAAAAAAAACGAGAAAAGGCUGGAAUUUAAAAGGAGGAUGGAAUAAGAAUGGGUGAGCUUCCUAGGGGUUUACAUAAUUAAAUGUGUAAGAAGUGGCCCCAGAACACAAGUUACAGUUGCCCUGAAUAAGGACUUUGCCCUACUCAUUUUUGUCUCUCAAGCAAAUAACACUGUGCUUGAU